This 112-nucleotide non-coding RNA is filed under the name bovine gut metagenome. RNAcentral's name for it is "FMN riboswitch (RFN element)". It matches the Rfam family "FMN riboswitch aptamer (RFN element)". Rfam says of the family: The RFN element is a highly conserved domain that is found frequently in the 5'-untranslated regions of prokaryotic mRNAs that encode for flavin mononucleotide (FMN) biosynthesis and transport proteins. The record is from RNAcentral.
GUCUUCGGGGCAGGGUGCGAUUCCCUACCGGCGGUACAGUCCGCGAGCCGCGUGCGCGGCAUGAACCGGUGCGAUUCCGGUACCGACAGUAUAGUCUGGAUGGAAGAAGACG